Colius striatus (speckled mousebird) is the source of this 1998-nucleotide long non-coding RNA. RefSeq lists it as uncharacterized. NCBI's taxonomy places the organism in Eukaryota, Metazoa, Chordata, Aves, Coliiformes, Coliidae. The record is from RefSeq and is a predicted model, not a curated record. The transcript has 2 exons.
AGAACAGAGUGGGGAAGUUUUUCACUUUGUAGAGGACGAGAAUCAAAAAGUGAAGGCAGGGUGGCUGCCGUGGCUUUCCCUCUUCCCGGGGCCAAGCCGUUUGGGCUCCCUGCAAACCCCGUUCCCCUCCGCUCCCGAGUCCAGCUCGAAACUGCAACAGGAUACCACAAAUUUGCUGUUUAUUAUAUCGAGCGGUUGGCAUUCAGCAAUCUCAGCUUAAAAGGAAACACAUGACUUUGCAGCAUGGAAGAGCACUUAAUGCUCGCCGAGGCUUUCGCGCAAAAACUUUUGACCACAAUUAACAGAGAAAACUUCGGGAAAGCAGUAAAAUGGCUUUUAGCCUGCAACUGGUGCCCUGCAAGUAGGUGAAGCUCCAGCGAGGCAGCUGAAGGCCAUCUAAGAAGACUUUUCAGGAGUGGCUUCCUCGAGUAAUUCUCCUGGCAAAUUACCUGCGAAUUGUUUGGGUGGUUUCUAAGAGAAUCUCUGAGAAUAACAACAACAAAAAAAACCCGGGUGUGAAGGGGUUUUUCUCCCUCCGUGUCAUCACAGCAAUAGGUAGAGUUGUAAAAGAACACGGAUGUCAAUGAGUAGCAAAGACAGAGAGGGAUUUCAGACGGGUAAACCUAUAAAGAGCAGAAACAGCGAGGACGUGCCGUUGUACGUUCAUUCAUUCCCAGGUGAAGGUUAUAUAAAAACAGAGACAGGCAAUGCGGAGCUGCAAAACCUCCCCUGCCACCCCAGCAGUGGCUGCAGGACCGCUGGGGAUUUUUGUCAGCUUUUUGUACAUUUCCAGGUACAAUUAGUCAGCAGAAAUGCCCGUCUAGAUCCCAGCAGAGAGAGGCACAAGCGGAGCAACUGAUAACCCGAGCUCAUUGCCCUCCUGCAGCUUCUGCCUCCCCAGCAGCGAUAUGCUGCUCCAAAGGCUUUUUCUUUCAUUCCCCCUUCUCUCUCUUCAGGAAGAAAAAGUCCCCUAUGUGUAGCUAGGCUGAAAUCAGGCCAGCUCCUAUUCCAACCCCAAAUUAUUUUCUCUCUGCUACCAGUCUCCUCCAGAAAGUAUUAAGCUACUGAACCAUGAAGGGACCCUCUCUCACCCCUGCACAGACUGAGCAGGGCCAGGUCGUGGCUGAGCCUUUCCCUGCAGAGUAGUGCCUGCAAUCGGCUCGGAUCUUCACAUGCCUAAAACUUCCUACAAUUCCAGGGGAAAGGAACUUUAUGGAGAAAAUCACUGGAGAAAAGAGCCUUGCUCUGGAGCAGCCUGGUGGGGUGCAGAGCCUCGGGAGGUGGGGAGGGAAGGGGAGUGUGUGCAGGGAAGAGGCACGAACCCCCGACCCAGACCUACCUUCCCGAUUUGGUAAUCACCAUCUCCGUGCCUCUUUUAUGGAAUUGCUCCCAAAGCUCUUUGGCUUCCAGAUGCACUUUCGGGUCAUCUUCCACCUCUUCUUCUGGCUCCAGAGUUUUUAAAGGCCUCAAAUGGGCUGCUGCCUGGUGGCCCAGGGAAGAAAAGGGGAUACCAGUCUCUGCAGCCCCUACUAACUGAUCCAUGAUGGGUUUAGCCAGAGCCCCGGGAAGGGAAAGGGCUGCUGCCCCAUUGGGAGGCAAAGCCAGAGCCGGGAAAAAGGGAGGCUGAUGUCCCAACACAGCGCUCAUGGCAAAGUCCGGUGCCCGGUGAGGUAAAAAAGGAUGAUAAGCCAUGCUUGUCCCAGGGAUUACUGGAUCUCUCAUCGGGAUAUUCAUCCACUCCACUCCUCGGUCUUCCUACUGCUGGAGUAGUCCCGGAGUGGUUUCUAACAGCACAUCAUGAAGAAGAAAAAUUAAGAUAAUAACAAUAACAUCAAUAAAGCACCACAAAAAAAAAUAGGGUGGGGGAAAACAAGCUCUAGACAGCACAGUACAUGGAGGGGGAGAGGCAGAACUUCUACAGCCUACAACUUCCCGAGCCGGGGCACAUCCCCAGCCCUCGGGACAGCGGAUUAACAGGAUUGUUCAUUAUUAGUCUUG